CGUGCCAGCAGCCGCGGUAAUACGUAGGUGGCAAGCGUUGUCCGGAUUUAUUGGGCGUAAAGCGAGCGCAGGCGGUUUCUUAAGUCUGAUGUGAAAGCCCCCGGCUCAACCGGGGAGGGUCAUUGGAAACUGGGAGACUUGAGUGCAGAAGAGGAGAGUGGAAUUCCAUGUGUAGCGGUGAAAUGCGUAGAUAUAUGGAGGAACACCAGUGGCGAAGGCGGCUCUCUGGUCUGUAACUGACGCUGAGGCUCGAAAGCGUGGGGAGCAAACAGGAUUAGAUACCCUGGUAGUCCACGCCGUAAACGAUGA
RNAcentral lists this ribosomal RNA (309 nucleotides) under uncultured bacterium. RNAcentral's name for it is "bacterial SSU rRNA". It matches the Rfam family "Bacterial small subunit ribosomal RNA", at positions 504 to 812 of the family's 1533-position model. The record is from RNAcentral.